AGCCUGUAAACUUUAAAUAUGCGACUAGGAAAGCCACAAAUUUUUUCUUCCAGAUGCUUUGCAAUGUACAGGAGGAAGCAUAAGUUCAAUCUAACUACACUACCAACAACUUUUAUCACCUCAAUGGGUUGUUUCCAGUUCUUCUUGAUUCCUGGCAGGUGACCCUUCCCUACGACUGCUACAACAGAGUUGUGUUCACCAGCAACUCUUAGUAAUG
This 217-nucleotide long non-coding RNA is filed under the name Nicotiana benthamiana. RNAcentral's name for it is "long non-coding RNA (NBEN_LNC001481)". The record is from RNAcentral. Lineage: Eukaryota; Viridiplantae; Streptophyta; Magnoliopsida; Solanales; Solanaceae.